UGUUGGACGAUGGUUUUCGAUGGUACA
Molecule: non-coding RNA, 27 nt
Filed under: Homo sapiens (human)
Lineage: Eukaryota; Metazoa; Chordata; Mammalia; Primates; Hominidae
Source: RNAcentral